AAAAACUGUGUGAUUCGUAAGUAAGGAUUGAUUGCAUCUGGAUAAGUGGGUUUCCCUUUAAACUUUCCGUAGUGAACAUAUAUCGGAUAUACUCGGUCAAUCGGUAGAUUUGAUAUCUUUGAACCGUCGAGCUUUGGUGUAUACCUAGACAACAUAAGUCACACAAUCAACCCUUGAACUAUUUUUGGUUCUCAUUGUUUUGUUCGUUUCAGC
RNAcentral lists this long non-coding RNA (213 nucleotides) under Solanum tuberosum (potato). RNAcentral's name for it is "long non-coding RNA (STUB_LNC004504)". Lineage: Eukaryota; Viridiplantae; Streptophyta; Magnoliopsida; Solanales; Solanaceae. The record is from RNAcentral.